AUUGAACGCUGGCGGCAUGCCUUACACAUGCAAGUCGAACGGUAACACGUUAAGCUGACGCGUUUCGCGCUGGCGAGUGAUGUAUGGGUAAGUGCUCGAUCGUGGGCUAUUACUUCUCGGAUGAGCACGUAAUACCGCAUACGAUAUUAGCGUAUAAGCGGUACCUCGCAAGACCUCGCGCAAUUGGAGCUUCCGGCAUCCGAUUAGGUAGUUGGUGAGGUAAAGGCUCACCAAGUCGACGAUCCGUAGCUGGUCUGAGAGGAUGAUCAGCCACACUGGAACUGAGACACGGUCCAGACUCCUACGGGAGGCAGCAGUGGGGAAUUUUGGACAAUGGGCGAAAGCCUGAUCCAGCCAUGCCGCGUGAGUGAAGAAGGUCUUCGGGUUGUAAAACGCUUUUGUUAGGGAAGAAAAGGUGCUGGAGAAUACAUGGAACUCAUGACGGUACCUGAAGAAUAAGCACCGGCUAACUACGUG
This 477-nucleotide ribosomal RNA is filed under the name uncultured bacterium. RNAcentral's name for it is "partial 16S ribosomal RNA". It matches the Rfam family "Bacterial small subunit ribosomal RNA", at positions 30 to 507 of the family's 1533-position model. The record is from RNAcentral.